UUCCCGGGGCGGGAACCACUGAGCGGAGCGCAGCGUGUGGGCGCGCGGCCGGGUUUAUUUUUGGCGCAUGCACACGCCUGGGUAGCCUCAAGGUCGGCGAUGCCCUGAGAUCCCGGCCGCUGCGCACGGGCUCCGUCUUGCAGCCGCGGGCUCCAGAAGGAGGGAGUCCCCGGUCCCAGCAGGGCCUUCUGUGAGCAGGUUCAGUACUGAGCACCGUCAGGGCUGCAGCCGGGGCCGGCAGGUAGGAGAGGGGUUCCCCAGAGGUUGACCCCGACCAGCCGCCAGUGCGCAGCGGGGGCCUGGCUAGUUGCUGCCGCGUCCCCGCCCGGCGCCCGCACCCGCGCCCCAGGGCUCCCCCGCGGGCUCGGGGCGCCCUGGAGCGGAGAGGGGGCCCUGCGCUCCCUUGGGCUGCGAGCUGUCACGGAAUUUGACACCCGGAGGGACAGCUGGUCGCGGCCAGGACUCUUGGUCUCUCUUAAAUGGAAACAGCUUCUCCCAGUGAACCCGCGGGAAUUCUCAGAGGACUCGCACUUACGCUUUACCCCCUGGCGCAUUUGACCAAGGCCGCAUUUCUCCCCUGGAGACAAGGAGAGCUUCGAAUGGAGCGGGUCUCCUGGCUGCAGAACAAGGUUCAUGAAAUUUUCAGGAAUGCAAGUUAGUCCUGAGGGAAGUUCUUGAAUAUCUAGUGCUGGCCCGUGGUGCUUGCUGAGAAAACUACUAAAGGAUGGACCCUAGCAAGAGGAGAGGUGAACCCAG
Long non-coding RNA from Tupaia belangeri chinensis (Chinese tree shrew), 756 nucleotides. RefSeq lists it as uncharacterized. Lineage: Eukaryota; Metazoa; Chordata; Mammalia; Scandentia; Tupaiidae. The record is from RefSeq and is a predicted model, not a curated record. The transcript is spliced from 3 exons.